This 464-nucleotide ribosomal RNA is filed under the name uncultured soil bacterium. RNAcentral's name for it is "bacterial SSU rRNA". It matches the Rfam family "Bacterial small subunit ribosomal RNA", at positions 26 to 488 of the family's 1533-position model. The record is from RNAcentral.
AGAGUGAACGCUGGCGGUAGGCCUAACACAUGCAAGUCGAACGGCAGCACAGGAGAGCUUGCUCUCUGGGUGGCGAGUGGCGGACGGGUGAGGAAUACAUCGGAAUCUACCUUUUCGUGGGGGAUAACGUAGGGAAACUUACGCUAAUACCGCAUAAGACCUUCGGGUGAAAGCCGGGGACCUUCGGGCCUGGCGCGGAUAGAUGAGCCGAUGUCGGAUUAGCUUGUUGGCGGGUAAAAGCCCACCAAGGCGACGAUCCGUAGCUGGUCUGAGAGGAUGAUCAGCCACACUGGAACUGAGACACGGUCCAGACUCCUACGGGAGCAGCAGUGGGAAUAUUGGACAAGUGGGCGCAAGCCUGAUCCAGCCAUACCGCGUGGGUGAAGAAGGCCGUUCGGUUGUUAAACGUCCCGUUUUCGUUAGGUAAAGAAAGUACCGUAGUACCGGUUAAUAACCGAAGUAGG